UACGGGGGGGGCAAGCGUUGUUCGGAAUUACUGGGCGUAAAGGGUUCGUAGGUGGUCAACUAAGUCAGACGUGAAAUCCCUCAGCUUAACUGGGGAACUGCGUCUGAUACUGGAUGGCUUGAGAUUGGGAGAGGGAUGCGGAAUUCCAGGUGUAGCGGUGAAAUGCGUAGAUAUCUGGAGGAACACCGGUGGCGAAGGCGGCAUCCUGGACCAACACUGACGCUGAGGAGCGAAAGCCAGGGGAGCAAACGGG
RNAcentral lists this ribosomal RNA (253 nucleotides) under uncultured bacterium. Its description in RNAcentral is "partial 16S ribosomal RNA". It matches the Rfam family "Bacterial small subunit ribosomal RNA", at positions 524 to 776 of the family's 1533-position model. The record is from RNAcentral.